This 418-nucleotide ribosomal RNA is filed under the name uncultured eukaryote. RNAcentral describes it as "SSU rRNA". It matches the Rfam family "Eukaryotic small subunit ribosomal RNA", at positions 567 to 990 of the family's 1831-position model. The record is from RNAcentral.
CCAGCAGCUGCGGUAAUUCCAGCUCCAAUAGCGUAUAUUAAAGUUGUUGCGGUUAAAAAGCUCGUAGUUGGAUUUCUGCCGAGGACGACCGACCGGCCCAAACGGGCUUGCGUCUGGUUAGACCGAGGCAUCCUCUUGGAAGACGUGCUGUACUUCAUUGUACACACGGAGUCCAGGACUUUUACUUUGAGGAAAUUAGAGUGUUUCAAACAGGCUUUCGCCGUGAAUACAUUAGCAUGGAAUAAUAAGAUAGGACUUCGGUUCUAUUUUGUUGGUUUCUAGAACUGAAGUAAUGAUUAAUAGGGACAGUCGGGGGCAUUCGUACUUAACUGUCAGAGGUGAAAUUCUUGGAUUUGUUAAAGACGAACUACUGCGAAAGCAUUUGCCAAGGAUGUUUUCAUUGAUCAAGAACGAAAGU